Molecule: long non-coding RNA, 370 nt
Filed under: Mytilus galloprovincialis (Mediterranean mussel)
Lineage: Eukaryota; Metazoa; Mollusca; Bivalvia; Mytilida; Mytilidae
Source: RNAcentral
GAUGUUGUUUAUCAUCUUAACAACGUGUUUUAUUGUUCUUUCAUUUGUUUUUGUUCUAUUAAUAAUAUUACUUUUUCUGUUUGAUUGUUUUAUGUAAUAUUUGACUUGGCUCGGUACUUAUACAUCCCGUCAAUGUGUUUGUAUUGUCUUUCAUUUUUUGAUGGUGUGUUUUGUAUAUGCAACUUUUUGUGUUUCUUUGGUUCUUAUAACGUGACUCUGUACUUUAUAAGAUCCCGUCAGUAUGAUAUUGUUCUAUUUCACGUCAUUAUGAUAUAUUUUUAUUAUGAAUUACAAAAUGCGUUGAACCAUAAACGUUGAAAUCAUUCCAUCGCGUAGUGGAAUCGGCUAUUUGUGGAUUCUUAUAAAUUCU